RNAcentral lists this non-coding RNA (45 nucleotides) under Echinostoma caproni. Lineage: Eukaryota; Metazoa; Platyhelminthes; Trematoda; Plagiorchiida; Echinostomatidae. The record is from RNAcentral.
GAACUGCUGACGAGUCCAAAACAGGACUAGACAGCUUUCCAGUGC